UGGCCCAGAUCGUUUACCGUGAAAAAAUUAGAGUGUUCAAAGCAGGCAGAUCCAAUUUUCUGCCACCGAAUACAUUAGCAUGGGAUAAUGGAAUAGGACCCUGUCCUCCUAUUUUCAGUUGGUUUUGGCAGCGCGAGGACUAGGGUAAUGAUUAAUAGGGAUAGUUGGGGGCAUUAAUAUUUAAUUGUCAGAGGUGAAAUUCUUGGAUUUAUGAAAGAUUAACUUCUGCGAAAGCAUCUGCCAAGGAUGUUUUCAUUAAUCAAGAACGAAAGUUAGGGGAUCGAAGACGAUCAGAUACCGUCGUAGUCUUAACCAUAAACGAUGCCGACCAGCGAUUAGGAGACGUUGAAUACAAAACACCACCAUCGGUGCGGUCGUCCUUGGCGUCUCGGUCCUUCACGGGGCCGGGGCGCGGGGGCGGCUUAGCCCGGUGGCACCGGUGAAUGACUCCCCUAGCAGCUUGUGAGA
RNAcentral lists this ribosomal RNA (468 nucleotides) under Acanthamoeba sp. ACA8. RNAcentral's name for it is "SSU rRNA". It matches the Rfam family "Eukaryotic small subunit ribosomal RNA", at positions 739 to 1095 of the family's 1831-position model. RNAcentral also lists the same sequence under 1 other name. Lineage: Eukaryota; Discosea; Longamoebia; Acanthamoebidae. The record is from RNAcentral.